This is a long non-coding RNA of Gossypium arboreum, 287 nucleotides long. RefSeq lists it as uncharacterized. Lineage: Eukaryota; Viridiplantae; Streptophyta; Magnoliopsida; Malvales; Malvaceae. The record is from RefSeq and is a predicted model, not a curated record. The transcript is spliced from 2 exons.
GUGAAGUUUACUUUUAUUUUCUCCUUCCUUUGAUUUUUUCUGGCUAUCGUUUCAUUUUCUUUUGGUGAUCGUACGUGAUAUUUGCUCUUCGAUCGUAGUUCGUUCAUAGUGCGAAGGAUGUGAGAAUCAAAAUCCUCCAGCAAGGUAAUUGCUAAUUUUGAUGUUGUUCUUGAGAGGCAAAUGCUCGAACAUCACGUUAGGGACUGAGUUUUGUUAAUAUAUGGAUGUUAUAUUGGAUGGAUUUUUUAUGAUUAAUCGAAGCGAAUAAAUGAUUGUUUGUAGGAUAA